CUUUUAAAGGAUCCUAGUCUAAUCCGU
Molecule: transfer RNA, 27 nt
Filed under: Egernia eos (Central pygmy spiny-tailed skink)
Lineage: Eukaryota; Metazoa; Chordata; Lepidosauria; Squamata; Scincidae
Description: partial tRNA-Leu
Source: RNAcentral